Molecule: ribosomal RNA, 494 nt
Filed under: uncultured bacterium
Lineage: Bacteria
Description: partial 16S ribosomal RNA
Rfam family: Bacterial small subunit ribosomal RNA
Source: RNAcentral
GACGAACGCUGGCGGCGUGCUUAACACAUGCAAGUCGAACGGAAAGGCCUGCUUUCCCUUGUGGAUUGCGGGUGCUCGAGUGGCGAACUGGUGAGUAACACGUGAGUGAUCUGCCCCCAACUUGGGUAUAAGCCUGGGAAACUGUGUCUAAUUCCCGAUAGGACUGCAGGGUUGUGCCUGUGGUGGCAAACGUUUUUCUAGUUGUUGGGGAUGCGCUCGCGGCCUAUCAGCUUGUUGGUGGGGUAAUGGCCGACCAAGGCGGCGACGGGUAGCCGGCCGGAGAGAGUGGACGGCCACACUGGGACUGAGACAAGGCCCAGACGCGGAGGGGAGGCAGCAGUGGGGAAGAAAGGACAAUGAGCGGGAGCCGGAAGCAGCGAGGCAGCGUGGGGGAUGACGGGAUUGGGGUUGUAAACUCCUUGGGAACGAGAGGAAGCCACGUGGUUGGAAGGGUGGUGACGGUAGUGGUAGAAGAAGCACCGGCUAACUACGUG